CCUACGGGCGGCAGCAGUGGGGAAUAUUGGACAAUGGGGGGAACCCUGAUCCUGCCAUGCCGCGUGUGUGAAGAAGGCCCUCGGGUUGUAAAGCACUUUCAGUGAGGAAGAACGCCUGGUGGUUAAUACCCAUCAGGAAAGACAUCACUCACAGAAGAAGCACCGGCUAACUCCGUGCCAGCAGCCGCGGUAAUACGGAGGGUGCGAGCGUUAAUCGGAAUUACUGGGCGUAAAGCGCGCGUAGGUGGCUUGAUAAGCCGGUUGUGAAAGCCCCGGGCUCAACCUGGGAACGGCAUCCGGAACUGUCAAGCUAGAGUGCAGGAGAGGAAGGUAGAAUUCCCGGUGUAGCGGUGAAAUGCGUAGAGAUCGGGAGGAAUACCAGUGGCGAAGGCGGCCUUCUGGACUGACACUGACACUGAGGUGCGAAAGCGUGGGUAGCAAACAGGAUUAGAUACCCUAGUAGUC
Molecule: ribosomal RNA, 465 nt
Filed under: Vreelandella stevensii
Lineage: Bacteria; Pseudomonadati; Pseudomonadota; Gammaproteobacteria; Oceanospirillales; Halomonadaceae
Description: partial 16S ribosomal RNA
Rfam family: Bacterial small subunit ribosomal RNA
Source: RNAcentral